RNAcentral lists this ribosomal RNA (681 nucleotides) under Flavimaricola sp. RNAcentral's name for it is "bacterial SSU rRNA". It matches the Rfam family "Bacterial small subunit ribosomal RNA", at positions 85 to 801 of the family's 1533-position model. Lineage: Bacteria; Pseudomonadati; Pseudomonadota; Alphaproteobacteria; Rhodobacterales; Paracoccaceae. The record is from RNAcentral.
CUUCGGGUGAGCGGCGGACGGGUUAGUAACGCGUGGGAAUAUGCCCUUUACUAAGGAAUAGCCUUUGGAAACGAAGAGUAAUACCUUAUACGCCCUUCGGGGGAAAGAUUUAUCGGUAAAGGAUUAGCCCGCGUCUGAUUAGAUAGUUGGUGGGGUAACGGCCUACCAAGUCGACGAUCAGUAGCUGGUUUGAGAGGAUGAUCAGCAACACUGGGACUGAGACACGGCCCAGACUCCUACGGGAGGCAGCAGUGGGGAAUCUUAGACAAUGGGCGAAAGCCUGAUCUAGCCAUGCCGCGUGAGUGAUGAAGGUCUUAGGAUCGUAAAGCUCUUUCGCUGGGGAAGAUAAUGACUGUACCCAGUAAAGAAACCCCGGCUAACUCCGUGCCAGCAGCCGCGGUAAUACGGAGGGGGUUAGCGUUGUUCGGAAUUACUGGGCGUAAAGCGCGCGUAGGCGGAUUAUUAAGUUAGAGGUGAAAUCCCGGGGCUCAACCCCGGAACUGCCUUUAAUACUGGUAGUCUUGAGUUCGAGAGAGGUGAGUGGAAUUCCGAGUGUAGAGGUGAAAUUCGUAGAUAUUCGGAGGAACACCAGUGGCGAAGGCGGCUCACUGGCUCGAUACUGACGCUGAGGUGCGAAAGUGUGGGGAGCAAACAGGAUUAGAUACCCUGGUAGUCCACACC